CCUACGGGCGGCAGCAGUGGGGAAUAUUGGACAAUGGGCGAAAGCCUGAUCCAGCCAUGCCGCGUGUGUGAAGAAGGCCUUCGGGUUGUAAAGCACUUUCAGUGGGGAAGAAAGCCUUGGGGCUAAUACCCUCGAGGAAGGACAUCACCCACAGAAGAAGCACCGGCUAACUCCGUGCCAGCAGCCGCGGUAAUACGGAGGGUGUGAGCGUUAAUCGGAAUUACUGGGCGUAAAGCGCGCGUAGGCGGUCUGAUAAGCCGGUUGUGAAAGCCCCGGGCUCAACCUGGGAACGGCAUCCGGAACUGUCAGGCUAGAGUGCAGGAGAGGAAGGUAGAAUUCCCGGUGUAGCGGUGAAAUGCGUAGAGAUCGGGAGGAAUACCAGUGGCGAAGGCGGCCUUCUGGACUGACACUGACGCUGAGGUGCGAAAGCGUGGGUAGCAAACAGGAUUAGAUACCCCGGUAGUC
RNAcentral lists this ribosomal RNA (465 nucleotides) under Vreelandella stevensii. RNAcentral's name for it is "partial 16S ribosomal RNA". It matches the Rfam family "Bacterial small subunit ribosomal RNA", at positions 338 to 795 of the family's 1533-position model. Lineage: Bacteria; Pseudomonadati; Pseudomonadota; Gammaproteobacteria; Oceanospirillales; Halomonadaceae. The record is from RNAcentral.